GAUUACUCAUAUAAAUAUGAGGUAGCUUUCACAUAAAAAGAGAAAAUUGUUUUGGUACUGUAAAUUGGUCAGUAAGGAAACUCUCUAAGACUCAGUUUAGAGUGUUAGAAAGCAGGCAUUCUUUUAUUCUUGGCACUGGAUGCAUGAGAGUAUCCUUCCACCUACUUGUGCAUACCUGGUACAAAAGAUCUUCAGCUUCUAUGCUUUACUUGCGUUACAUAUGCAAAGGUUUUCCUGGGCAGUACAUACAUACUCAGUACUUCCUCCCACAUCAUUAACAUAAUGUUCUGCCUCCUUGCUCAUGCUCAGUCUUUUUUUGAUAGUGGUCCUGACACACUCUAGACAAAGUCGGUCGUCUUUUUCACUUGUGUUCACUUGAACCUGGUCUCAUGCAUGCUCAGUUAUCGCCUUGCCUUGAUCUUAUAAUACCUACUUUCACAAAAUUAGCUGAUCCAAGCAGAACUUCCUUAUCUGCCUGGCAUAAGGGAGUCAGUAUAUCAUUGUCAUCUACUUAGUACAAGGGCACAGAUUCUUCCUGUUUUCUAGAGCAACUACAGGGCUAUCCGUCAUAGGACUCUUCUUGUUUUCAAGCCAACUACAGUGCUAUCCAUCAAUGAGUAUUAGCAAGCUUAACAAUAUUGCUAUGUCUUGUAUCAGUUUAAUUUAGAGAGUGAGGGAAUGAUGGAGGAUUAUCCUAAAAGCAUGUGAAAUGAAGACUAAUAGGAUGAUGCUGAGGAACUCCCCUUUAUACAUGCCACAGUAGAAAAGGAAGGAGAUGUUUCAUGAUUUGAAAGGCAAAUUUUUUUUAUACUAUGUAAAGGAAAUGGUGUGUCCCCUGCUGCAGGAUGUCCUGUCAGAUAUAGCAGUGGGAUGAGAAGUUAGCAGAAUCCAAAGAGGAAUUGAAGAGAAUUUUUAAAGGCAGAAAAUACAGGCUGAGAAUCUAGCUCCCUGUGGAAAUUGUGAAUGAUGAGCCUUGAGACUGCCUUCUUGUCUCUCUGUGCUGAGAACCUCAACAACUGCAUCAAAGAGGUUCUCUAGGCACAUCUGCUGCCAUGAGAUGCCUCAGCCAAGGACUGUGAGCCAAGAUAUGAGGGAAAUAGUUUAACCAGAUGUGUGCCCAUGUCUGCAACACAGAAUUUUAAGAUGCUGAAAUUUAAAAGCUUGCCAUCAUCUCCCCUGCCUCCCCAGCAGUAAGGUAAAUAAUGAGUGGGACAGCAGCAUAUCCAUUAAAACACCUUUUUUCAAGGGAGAGGAUAGGAGGUUAUAAUUUGACUAUAAAAAUUUGCUCCAGGCUGAAAACUUGGCAAACAAAAGCUUAGCUUAGAAGUGAUUAAAAAGGAAACAACGAAAAAAGCAUAAAAUAAACCAGGGCAGUCAUUUUGGGUGGAGAUGAGGGUCUAGAGCUUAGAGAUCAUUCUUUAGUGGGGGAGGAGGAGGAACGGCUCAAGACAGAGUUGUAUUUGGCUCUAAGCCCAACUAUAACUAAGUGUUUCAGAGCCAGGAGAAUAAACUGCAGCAUCUGAAUACAUGUGCAAUCCCUGGCCUCUCCCUUCACCCAUUUAUCAGAGGAAAGUUAAG
This is a long non-coding RNA of Gallus gallus (chicken), 1578 nucleotides long. Lineage: Eukaryota; Metazoa; Chordata; Aves; Galliformes; Phasianidae. The record is from Ensembl.